RNAcentral lists this ribosomal RNA (1950 nucleotides) under human gut metagenome. RNAcentral's name for it is "bacterial LSU rRNA". It matches the Rfam family "Bacterial large subunit ribosomal RNA", at positions 1 to 1989 of the family's 2925-position model. The record is from RNAcentral.
UUAAAGUAGUAAGGGCGCAGGGUGGAUGCCUUGGCACUAAGAGCCGAUGAAAGACGUGAUAAGCUGCGAAAAGCUUCGGGGAGGAGCACAUAUCCAAUGAUCCGGAGAUAUCUGAAUGGGGAAACCCGGCAGAGGAAACCUCUGUCAGCGUGCAGUGAAUACAUAGCUGUACGUGGGGAACCCGGGGAACUGAAACAUCUAAGUACCCGGAGGAAGAGAAAGAAAAUUUAUCGAUUUCCAAAGUAGCGGCGAGCGAAAUGGAAAGAGCCCAAACCGUGAUGCGUGCAUCGCGGGGUUCGGACUGCGUUGUGGCAGACGUAAGAUAGGAGAACGGACUGGGAAGUCCGGCCGGAGAGAGUGAAAGCCUCGUAUCCGAAAUCCCAAGUCGCCUAGCAGGAUCCAGAGUAGGACGAGACACGAGAAACCUUGUCUGAACGAGCGGGGACCACCCCGUAAGGCUAAAUACUUCUUAGUGACCGAUAGCGCAUAGUACUGUGAAGGAAAGGUGAAAAGUACCCCGGGAGGGGAGUGAAAGAGAACCUGAAACCCUGUGUCUACAAGCUGUGGGACCUCUUUAUAUGAGGGACUGCGUACUUUUUGUAGAACGGUCCGGCGAGUUGUGCGUACUGGCGAGGUUAAGGACUUAAGGUCUGGAGCCGAAGUGAAAGCAAGCGUUAAGAGCGCGUCAAGUCAGUGAGUGCAGACCCGAAACCGGGUGACCUAUCCAUGUCCAGGUUGAAGCUUCCGUAAGAGGAAGUGGAGGACCGAACCCACAUCCGUUGAAAAGGGUGGGGAUGAGGUGUGGAUAGCGGAGAAAUUCCAAUCGAACCCGGAGAUAGCUGGUUCUCCUCGAAAUAGCUUUAGGGCUAGCCUCAUGAGAGUCUUAUGGAGGUAGAGCACUGAAUUGCCUAGGGGGCGUCAAAGCUUACCAAAGCAUAUCAAACUCCGAAUGCCAUCAAGAUGAUUCAUGGGAGUCAGACCAUACGAGAUAAGUUGGAUGGUCAAAAGGGAAAGAGCCCAGACCUACAGCUAAGGUCCCAAAGUGCGUGUUAAGUGGAAAAGGAUGUGGGGAUUCUAAGACAACUAGGACGUUGGCUUAGAAGCAGCCAUUCAUUGAAAGAGUGCGUAAUAGCUCACUAGUCGAGAGUCCCUGCGCCGAAAAUGUCCGGGGCUGAAACACGACACCGAAGCUUAGGAAUGUGUAAACAUUGGUAGAGGAGCAUUGCUGGCGGGAUGAAGCCAUACCGUAAGGAGUGGUGGACUGCUAGGAAGAGAGAAUGCCGGAAUGAGUAGCGAGAUGAAGGUGAGAAUCCUUCAGGCCGAAUAUCUAAGGUUUCCAGAGUAAAGCUGAUCUGCUCUGGGUAAGUCGGGACCUAAGGCGAGGUCGAAAGACGUAGUCGAUGGAUAACAGGUUGAAAUUCCUGUACCGCAUAUAAACAGAACUGUGGGGACACAGACAGGGAAUGGAAUCCGGGAGUGGAGAUCCCGGUGCAAGCGAGGUAGGAGUGCUGUUGGCAAAUCCGCAGCACGAUCUGAAGACGUGACGCGUACCGAACAUAAGUAGGGAAGUCCAGGCCCCUGGCUGUCAAGAAAAGCCGCUAUUGUUUUAUAUGUGCCCGUACCGCAAACCGACACAGGUGGAUGAGGAGAGAAUCCUAAGGCCGACGGGAGAAGUAUUGUUAAGGAACUCGGCAAAAUGACUCCGUAACUUCGGGAGAAGGAGUGCCAUGAGAGUGGCCGCAGAGAAAUGGCCCAAGCAACUGUUUAGCAAAAACACAGGUCUAUGCAAAACCGCAAGGUGAAGUAUAUGGGCUGACGCCUGCCCGGUGCUGGAAGGUUAAGGGGAGAGGUUAGCGCAAGCGAAGCUUUGAACUUAAGCCCCAGUAAACGGCGGCCGUAACUAUAACGGUCCUAAGGUAGCGAAAUUCCUUGUCGGGUAAGUUCCGACCC